AACGAACGCUGGCGGCAGGCUGAACACAUGCAAGUCGAACGAGAUCUUCGGAUCUAGUGGCAGACGGGUGAGGAACACGUGGGAACAUCCCUUUCAGUUCGGAAUAACGUUGGGAAACUAACGCUAAUACCGGAUACGUCCUUCGGGAGAAAGAUUUAUCGCUGAAAGAUUGGCCCGCGUCUGAUUAGCUAGUUGGUGAGGUAAUGGCUCACCAAGGCUACGAUCAGUAGCUGAUCUGAGAGGAUGAUCAGCCACAUUGGGACUGAGACACGGCCCAAACUCCUACGGGAGGCAGCAGUGGGGAAUAUUGGACAAUGGGCGCAAGCCUGAUCCAGCCAUGCCGCGUGAGUGAUGAAGGCCUUCGGGUUGUAAAGCUCUUUUAUCCGGGAAGAUAAUGACUGUACCGGAAGAAUAAGCCCCGGCAAACUUCGUGCAGCAGCCGCCGCAG
RNAcentral lists this ribosomal RNA (448 nucleotides) under uncultured bacterium. RNAcentral describes it as "partial 16S ribosomal RNA". It matches the Rfam family "Bacterial small subunit ribosomal RNA", at positions 29 to 523 of the family's 1533-position model. The record is from RNAcentral.